GUCUCUGUGGCGCAAUUUGUUUAGCGCGUUCGGCUGUUAACCGAAAGGUUGCUGGUUCAAGCCCAGCCAGGGACG
Non-coding RNA from Ciona savignyi (Pacific transparent sea squirt), 75 nucleotides. The record is from Rfam. Lineage: Eukaryota; Metazoa; Chordata; Ascidiacea; Phlebobranchia; Cionidae.